This 497-nucleotide ribosomal RNA is filed under the name uncultured bacterium. Its description in RNAcentral is "partial 16S ribosomal RNA". It matches the Rfam family "Bacterial small subunit ribosomal RNA", at positions 28 to 507 of the family's 1533-position model. The record is from RNAcentral.
GACGAACGCUGGCGGCGUGCCUAAUACAUGCAAGUUGAGCGCUGAAGGUUGGUACUUGUACCAACUGGAUGAGCAGCGAACGGGUGAGUAACGCGUGGGGAAUCUGCCUUUGAGCGGGGGACAACAUUUGGAAACGAAUGCUAAUACCGCAUAAAAACUUUAAACACAAGUUUUAAGUUUGAAAGAUGCAAUUGCAUCACUCAAAGAUGAUCCCGCGUUGUAUUAGCUAGUUGGUGAGGUAAAGGCUCACCAAGGCGAUGAUACAUAGCCGACCUGGGAGGGUGAUCGGCCACCUUGGGACUGAGACACGGCCCAAACUCCUACGGGAGGCAGCAGGAGGGAAUCUUCGGCAAUGGACGAAAGUCUGACCGAGCAACGCCGCGUGAGUGAAGAAGGGUUUCGGAUCGUAAAACUCUGUUGGUAGAGAAGAACGUUGGUGAGAGUGGAAAGCUCAUCAAGUGACGGUAACUACUCAGAAAGGGACGGCUAACUACGUG